Molecule: ribosomal RNA, 320 nt
Filed under: uncultured eukaryote
Lineage: Eukaryota
Description: partial 18S ribosomal RNA
Rfam family: Eukaryotic small subunit ribosomal RNA
Source: RNAcentral
CCCUUAGAUGUUCUGGGCCGCACGCGUGCUACACUGAGUGGAUCAGCGGGUCAGGUUGCGCGAAAGUGUUUCCUAAUCUUUAAAUCCGCUCGUGAUGGGGAUUGACGGUUGCAAUUUUCCGUCAUGAACGAGGAAUACCUUGUAAGCGCGGGUCAUCAUCCCGCGCUGAAUACGUCCCUGCCCUUUGUACACACCGCCCGUCGCUCCUACCGAUUGGUUGAUCUGGUGAAUUAUUCGGACUGCCGGCUGAAGGGGUUUCCUCAUCUGCCAGCGGAAAGUCUUGUUAACCCUAUCAACUAGAGGAAGCAGAAGUCGUAACA